This is a long non-coding RNA of Corvus hawaiiensis (hawaiian crow), 356 nucleotides long. RefSeq lists it as uncharacterized. The transcript is spliced from 3 exons. The record is from RefSeq and is a predicted model, not a curated record. Lineage: Eukaryota; Metazoa; Chordata; Aves; Passeriformes; Corvidae.
CUGAAGUGACCUGACAGUUAGCUGGCAAGUUUGUGAGAGUGACAGAAGCACCACUGCUCAUCACAUGAAUUCCUCCAGACACCCGGGCUCCAGCCUCCCUCCUAAGGCUUCAAACCUAAAGGUACGAGCAUCUUAUGCCCUGGGGGCUGAAUGCAUGGAAUGAAAUUCACAAUCUGCUCCAAGAAGAAAUGCAGUCUGUUCACCACCAUGUGCAAGGCACUAAAAUCCUCUCCAGAAGUCUUCCUCAUAUUGGUCUGCAGUGCUUCUCUGUGCUGGAUGUACUUCUGUACAAACACACCAGUGCUUGACAAGAAAGAUCCACUGUCCAGAACUGUUCGACAUACAGCUGAAAGCAA